UUGAACGCUGGCGGAAUGCUUUACACAUGCAAGUCGAACGGCAGCACGGGGGCAGCCCUGGUGGCGAGUGGCGAACGGGUGAGUAAUACAUCGGAACGUGCCCGGUCGUGGGGGAUAACGUAGCGAAAGUUACGCUAAUACCGCAUACGAUCUGAGGAUGAAAGCGGGGGACCUUCGGGCCUCGCGCGAUCGGAGCGGCCGAUGUCAGAUUAGGUAGUUGGUGGGGUAAAGGCCUACCAAGCCGACGAUCUGUAGCUGGUCUGAGAGGACGACCAGCCACACUGGGACUGAGACACGGCCCAGACUCCUACGGGAGGCAGCAGUGGGGAAUUUUGGACAAUGGGCGCAAGCCUGAUCCAGCCAUUCCGCGUGCAGGGCGAAGGCCUUCGGGUUGUAAACUGCUUUUGUACGGAACGAAAAGGCUCUGGCUAAUACCUGGGGCUCAUGACGGUACCGUAAGAAUAAGCACCGGCUAACUACGUG
RNAcentral lists this ribosomal RNA (483 nucleotides) under uncultured bacterium. Its description in RNAcentral is "partial 16S ribosomal RNA". It matches the Rfam family "Bacterial small subunit ribosomal RNA", at positions 30 to 507 of the family's 1533-position model. The record is from RNAcentral.